RNAcentral lists this long non-coding RNA (283 nucleotides) under Bemisia tabaci. RNAcentral's name for it is "lncRNA ENSSSA1UGG007821". The record is from RNAcentral. Lineage: Eukaryota; Metazoa; Arthropoda; Insecta; Hemiptera; Aleyrodidae.
CUUAAUUAUACUUUUUAAUUGGGAUCGGACGAGCGACUCACGUCUCGUCGUCUCGGCUCACUUUCCACCGGGCGCUUUUAAGAAGCUUUUUCGGGCUUUCUUCGUUUUCGUCCCCCAAGAGAUCGCUGUCUAAUCUCCGUUUGAUUGCGAGUAGCUCUCUGCGCUUUGGGUCCCCUGCUGCUCCGACGUUUAAAACGCUAUAGAAACAGAAACUAUAACCGCCUCAGCCAGUGGCGCUCAGCGGAACGAGUCAAUGAGAGAAGUCAUACGAAGUGUGGAAACA